RNAcentral lists this long non-coding RNA (429 nucleotides) under Sorghum bicolor (sorghum). RNAcentral describes it as "long non-coding RNA (SBIC_LNC001114)". The record is from RNAcentral. Lineage: Eukaryota; Viridiplantae; Streptophyta; Magnoliopsida; Poales; Poaceae.
CCAACCCUUUUAAUGCACUGGUAGAAGUAGGGAGCAUCAAUUGAAAUAACUGAAGCUUUAUUGGAUAAGUAGAAUAAGACAUAAUGGCAAUAAAUAUUUUUGGGUGUCUUCUCCUAGUGUAGGAGUAGAACAUUUUCUAAGUGGAUGUAGAAUGUGUGUAGGUGAUGAAUAGAGGAAUGCGUACUCCUAGGGUAGGAGCAGCAUAAGUGCGUGUCUCUAGGAUAGAAACAACAUAGAGUGUAGUGCGUAUAUGUGGGUGGUACUUCCAGGAAUAGAAGUAGCACAUGGUGAAUAUGGUGGAUGUAAGUGGUUUCAUACUUUUGAGGACAGAAGUAGCUAAGGUUAAAGGAUGGAGAGCAUAUAAUACUGACUUUAACUGUAUGACUAGUUUCUUAGGGUCAAUACAGCUUAACUACACUCAAUGCUUAU